AUUGAACGCUGGCGGCAGGCCUAACACAUGCAAGUCGAGCGGAUGAAGGGAGCUUGCUCCUGGAUUCAGCGGCGGACGGGUGAGUAAUGCCUAGGAAUCUGCCUGGUAGUGGGGGAUAACGUCCGGAAACGGGCGCUAAUACCGCAUACGUCCUGAGGGAGAAAGUGGGGGAUCUUCGGACCUCACGCUAUCAGAUGAGCCUAGGUCGGAUUAGCUAGUUGGUGGGGUAAAGGCCUACCAAGGCGACGAUCCGUAACUGGUCUGAGAGGAUGAUCAGUCACACUGAAACUGAGACACUGUCCAGACUCCUACGGGAGGCAGCAGGGGGGAAUAGUGGACGAUGGGCGAAAGUCUGAUCCAGCCAUGCCGCGUGUGAAGAAGGUCUUCGGAUUGUAAAGCACUUUAAGUUGGGAGGAAGGGCAGUAAGUUAAUACCUUGCUGUUUUGACGUUACCAACAGAAUAAGCACCGGCUAACUUCGUG
This 482-nucleotide ribosomal RNA is filed under the name uncultured bacterium. RNAcentral's name for it is "partial 16S ribosomal RNA". It matches the Rfam family "Bacterial small subunit ribosomal RNA", at positions 30 to 507 of the family's 1533-position model. The record is from RNAcentral.